CACGUAGGGCGCAAGCGUUGUCCGGAAUUAUUGGGCGUAAAGAGCUCGUAGGCGGCUUGUUGCGUCGGCUGUGAAAACCCAUGGCUCAACCGUGGGCUUGCAGCCGAUACGGGCAGGCUAGAGUUCGGUAGGGGAGACUGGAAUUCCUGGUGUAGCGGUGAAAUGCGCAGAUAUCAGGAGGAACACCGGUGGCGAAGGCGGGUCUCUGGGCCGAUACUGACGCUGAGGAGCGAAAGCGUGGGGAGCGAACAGG
Molecule: ribosomal RNA, 253 nt
Filed under: uncultured bacterium
Lineage: Bacteria
Description: partial 16S ribosomal RNA
Rfam family: Bacterial small subunit ribosomal RNA
Source: RNAcentral